This is a non-coding RNA of Pimephales promelas (fathead minnow), 907 nucleotides long. The record is from RefSeq and is a predicted model, not a curated record. Lineage: Eukaryota; Metazoa; Chordata; Actinopteri; Cypriniformes; Leuciscidae.
GCGUCGCCGAAUGGAGUAGCCAUGGAGUGAAGAGUCCCGACACUAGUCUCCCAAGUUUGAGGUGAAAAUACGUUUUGCCCAAGUUUGACGUGACCGUAAACGCACAGCAGACCUACAGCGUUGCAGUUAUGGGAUUGAAAGUUGAGUCUUGUGCCAAGUGAGUGAUGCUUUAUUUUCUUGUCUUGUGGUUGGUCAGUUCUUUAUCUUGUUCUGAUGUUUCCCAGAUAUACAUAUGGCCAACCUGUACCUGGUCAAGCCUUAGAGAAGUGUGCCGUGAUCCAUUUCCAUACAGUCUGCUUCAUCAUGACCAGACAGUGCCUGACUCAAACCGCAGAUGAAUGCCACGGGCUGUGCCUCUCUUACUGUUGAUACGUCAGUGUUUUUCAACACCAAAUGCAAGACUCAUUUCUUGUAAAUGUGAAUGUUACUGAGGAGGGUACAGGUGAGCUAUUGGCUGAUCUCAACCAUAUACUCUUUAUCAUCUUUACAAGACAUGCACUUUAAGCCACAAAGUUGAUAUUCUUCACUGUUUGUUUGGACUUUCUCUCGCAGAUGUAAUGGUGUCAAUCUGCAAUGGUGUCCAUUACAAACAAAGCUGUAUAUCUCAUGGAGGGGAGCAACUGGCCCAACAAACUGCUGUUGAAUCUAACCCCAAACAAGAAUGGACGGGCUGCGUUCUCCCUAAACACUGCUAAUCUUAAGGCUGGUCUGAAUCUGGUGGUACGACUUGUAUUUUGUAAAAAUUAAGACUUUCUCUAGCAUGAAACUGAUUAAGUUUGAUCUUCCCCAGGCAAGUACUAAUCCAGAGGUUUCUUAUGGUUAUGAAUCGCCAUACUUCACUACAGAUACAAGUGACCGUGGAGUAUUCAUUUGUUGGAGAGGCUAGUAGCUACAGUGCUGACAAUCU